GAGGGUAGAGCUCAGUGGUAGAGCACAUGCCUAGCAUGCACGAGGUCCUGGGUUCACUCCCCAGUACCUCUG
Molecule: transfer RNA, 72 nt
Filed under: Camelus bactrianus (Bactrian camel)
Lineage: Eukaryota; Metazoa; Chordata; Mammalia; Artiodactyla; Camelidae
Also listed under: 2 other names
Rfam family: tRNA
About the family: Transfer RNA (tRNA) molecules are approximately 80 nucleotides in length.
Source: Rfam by way of RNAcentral